Molecule: long non-coding RNA, 1248 nt
Filed under: Equus caballus (horse)
Lineage: Eukaryota; Metazoa; Chordata; Mammalia; Perissodactyla; Equidae
Description: lncRNA (ENSECAG00000050292.1)
Source: RNAcentral
CCAUUAUCUUGUGAUCUCCAUGGGGACAAGAUGGCUGUCCUGUUCUCUGCUAAUUUCAGUGUCCUGCGUAGCACCUGGCACCUUAGAGAGACUUAGCAAAUAUUUGUUGAACAAAUGGAUGUGAACAAGCAGUGGGAGCAGGCUCUCUCACAGGGUACAGAAGGCGGUACCAGCCAAUAAUUAGCUGAUUAUCAGAUUCUGUGCCACAGGGUGCUAACCUCUGCUUGACAGAAACCGGCAGCCUCUGAGUUCAAGCCUCCCUCCCAUUGCACACACCUUUUGGUGUCUGCCUCACCGGUGAGGUCUGCUCAGGCCCGCCUAGCCUGGGAGCUGUACCAGUGAGUGGAAGCCUGCCCUGCAAAAAGUGCUAAUUAAUACUAAAUGUCACUACCAUCUCAUAGCUCUUGCCCUGUGUACACCUAUCGGAGCCAGGUGUCCCUUUGAUCACAAUCUCUAGCCCUGGGUUGAACCGCAAGAGAGUCAACAUCACCUGAGACAAAUGACAACACCCCCACUCCACCCCUCAUUCUAUGCGGUUGACCUGGAGAUGGUGGCUUUCCUGUUGUGCCCUCUAGAAGAAUGUCACACACCUACAACUCAGCGAGUUUCUGUAAGAUGGAGGCAGCAAGCCAGGAGCAAGGGAGGCAUAACCCCUGCAAUUGCCUGUGGGCUGAAGAUCAAUCAGCUUUGUCUUGUGAAUCAGAUUAUCUGGUUACCUGCUGCUGGAUUCUUUGUUUUCCCUUUUCUUAGCUCUAGGCCUUUAGGGAAGUCUUAUUUAAUUGUUCCAAGUCACUGCAGUGCUGAUGACUUCAGCUGUGCUUGUUCCUGAGCAUAAAGGGACAGAGAAAUCUCAGGGACAUGGCAGGGCUGGGAAGUCCCUUCCUUUUCUCAUGAAGAUGCUCCCUCCCACAAAGGAUAUACGUCUUAUUUUAUAAUGGGAGGUGGCUGGUUCUUUACAGCAUCUAAACUGGCUGAGGAAGGCCCCUGACUCCAGACCUCAGAUGGAGAUGACCCAAAGCCCCCAGGGGUGGGCUCUGGAGAGCUAGUCCCCAGAGCUUAGAGUUGUUCUGCUAGUCACAGACCCCUAUAGCCCUGGGUAAUCUAGGGGCCCUGCCAGAGGAAGGUCACCACCUGGCAAGCAAAAGGACCCCAACUGCCGACUCAGGAUCAGGAAUAUGGUCUACAAACUGCCUCCCACCCCAAGACCUCAAGGCUCAAAGCUACCCUUUCUUCCAUAGAAGAGUUCCU